AUUUGGAAUAGGUUUAACUUAAUGUUUAAGUUCCCUGUUUAAGAAAUAGAAAACAUACGAAUCUUCUCAUUUCAUGGGAACGACCUGAGACUGCAAUCACGGCUUCAAUCUUUGAAUUACAGAAUAAUUAGAUGCACUAUCUAGUGUAUAUAAGAUAUCUAUGGAUUUCAAGCACUUUAGGCGUGAAAUUUUGCAGAAUUCUGAGGAUUAUAAAGUACAUCAAGGACCAGAUAAUUCUCUUCGGAUCUAAAUUAAUUGCAUAGAAAUGUCACCUUGGAAAAGGAGUCCGUGUC
Paramuricea clavata is the source of this 293-nucleotide non-coding RNA. NCBI's taxonomy places the organism in Eukaryota, Metazoa, Cnidaria, Anthozoa, Malacalcyonacea, Plexauridae. The record is from the annotation of a GenBank genome assembly.